CGGCGACGGGUGAGUAACGCGUGAGCAACCUGUCCCUUACGAGGGGGAUAACACAGCGAAAGUUGUACUAAUACCGCAUGAGACCACAGUGAGACAUCUCACGAGGGGUCAAAAGGAGCAAUCCGGUAAGGGGUGGGCUCGCGUCCGAUUAGAUAGUUGGUGAGGUAACGGCCCACCAAGUCGACGAUCGGUAGCCGACCUGAGAGGGUGAUCGGCCACAUUGGGACUGAGACACGGCCCAAACUCCUACGGGAGGCAGCAGGUGGGGAAUAUUGGGCAAAUGGGGGAAACCCUGACCCAGCAACGCCGCGCGAGGGAAGAAGGUUUUCGGAUCGUAAACCUCUGUCCUUGGUGAAGAGGAAGAGACGGUAGCCAAGGAGGAAGCCCCGGCUAACUACGUGCCAGCCGCGGC
This 412-nucleotide ribosomal RNA is filed under the name uncultured bacterium. RNAcentral describes it as "bacterial SSU rRNA". It matches the Rfam family "Bacterial small subunit ribosomal RNA", at positions 96 to 518 of the family's 1533-position model. The record is from RNAcentral.